Molecule: ribosomal RNA, 757 nt
Filed under: bacterium RH70DO
Lineage: Bacteria
Description: bacterial SSU rRNA
Rfam family: Bacterial small subunit ribosomal RNA
Source: RNAcentral
UGCAGUCGAACGAUGAAGCCCAGCUUGCUGGGUGGAUUAGUGGCGAACGGGUGAGUAACACGUGAGUAACCUGCCCUUGACUCUGGGAUAAGCCUGGGAAACUGGGUCUAAUACUGGAUAUGACUUCUCACCGCAUGGUGGGGGGUGGAAAGAUUUAUUGGUCUUGGAUGGACUCGCGGCCUAUCAGCUUGUUGGUGAGGUAAUGGCUCACCAAGGCGACGACGGGUAGCCGGCCUGAGAGGGUGACCGGCCACACUGGGACUGAGACACGGCCCAGACUCCUACGGGAGGCAGCAGUGGGGAAUAUUGCACAAUGGGCGCAAGCCUGAUGCAGCGACGCCGCGUGAGGGAUGACGGCCUUCGGGUUGUAAACCUCUUUCAGUAGGGAAGAAGCGAAAGUGACGGUACCUGCAGAAGAAGCGCCGGCUAACUACGUGCCAGCAGCCGCGGUAAUACGUAGGGCGCGAGCGUUAUCCGGAAUUAUUGGGCGUAAAGAGCUCGUAGGCGGUUUGUCGCGUCUGCCGUGAAAGUCCGGGGCUUAACCCCGGAUCUGCGGUGGGUACGGGCAGACUAGAGUGCAGUAGGGGAGACUGGAAUUCCUGGUGUAGCGGUGAAAUGCGCAGAUAUCAGGAGGAACACCGAUGGCGAAGGCAGGUCUCUGGGCUGUAACUGACGCUGAGGAGCGAAAGCAUGGGGAGCGAACAGGAUUAGAUACCCUGGUAGUCCAUGCCGUAAACGUUGGGCMCUAGGKGUGGGG